GUGGUCGUAGAAUAAUGGUAAUUCGCCAGAUUGUGGAUCUGGUUUAUGUGAGUUCAAGUCUCAUCGGCCACCUCA
RNAcentral lists this transfer RNA (75 nucleotides) under Synechococcus phage B3. RNAcentral describes it as "tRNA-His". It matches the Rfam family "tRNA". Rfam says of the family: Transfer RNA (tRNA) molecules are approximately 80 nucleotides in length. Their secondary structure includes four short double-helical elements and three loops (D, anti-codon, and T loops). The record is from RNAcentral. Lineage: Duplodnaviria; Heunggongvirae; Uroviricota; Caudoviricetes; Pantevenvirales; Kyanoviridae.